RNAcentral lists this transfer RNA (66 nucleotides) under Lysmata amboinensis (scarlet cleaner shrimp). RNAcentral describes it as "tRNA-Arg". The record is from RNAcentral. Lineage: Eukaryota; Metazoa; Arthropoda; Malacostraca; Decapoda; Hippolytidae.
AACUAAGAAGUGAAGUAUUACAUCUAGUUUCGACCUAGAUUUUGGCCUAUCGAAAGCCCUUAGUUU